This 266-nucleotide ribosomal RNA is filed under the name uncultured Staphylococcus sp. RNAcentral describes it as "partial 16S ribosomal RNA". It matches the Rfam family "Bacterial small subunit ribosomal RNA", at positions 96 to 355 of the family's 1533-position model. The record is from RNAcentral. Lineage: Bacteria; Bacillati; Bacillota; Bacilli; Caryophanales; Staphylococcaceae.
CGGCGGACGGGUGAGUAACACGUGGGUAACCUACCUAUAAGACUGGGACAACUUCGGGAAACCGGAGCUAAUACCGGAUAAGAUAUCGAACCGCAUGGUUCGAUAGUGAAAGAUGGUUUUGCUAUCACUUAUAGAUGGACCCGCGCCGUAUUAGCUAGUUGGUGAGGUAACGGCUCACCAAGGCAACGAUACGUAGCCUACCUGAGAGGGUGAUCGGCCACACUGGAACUGAGACACGGUCCAGACUCCUACGGGAGGCAGCAGCC